GUGAAUCAUCGAAUCUUUGAACGCAAAUUGCACUUUCUGGUAUUCCGGAAAGUAUGCCUGUUUGAGGGUCAGUUAAAUAAAAAUCGGAGUUGUUGCUGCAUUUCGUGGUGACGCGUCGGAAUUGAGUUGUCUUAUGUUCGGUUAAGUGACUUAAAAUUGUGCAUAAUUUUAGUAUGUAUUUAAAUUUCUUUCGUAAGUUUGAGAUAUACAAUAGUUUAUUAGGUUUGGUCAUCAU
RNAcentral lists this unclassified non-coding RNA (235 nucleotides) under Glomus sp. RNAcentral's name for it is "partial contains 5.8S ribosomal RNA and internal transcribed spacer 2". The stretch from base 1 to 71 matches the Rfam family "5.8S ribosomal RNA", at positions 84 to 154 of the family's 154-position model. The record is from RNAcentral. Lineage: Eukaryota; Fungi; Glomeromycota; Glomeromycetes; Glomerales; Glomeraceae.